UCGGGUCGCCGCCUUCGCCCGUCCCGACCUGUCCAGUGCCGGUCGCGGUCGGAGGAUCCGCGCGCCCGGCGCCGGCCGAUGGAUCCCGAGGCGGCGGGGGACGAACUGUCCCGCUUGCGCUCGCUGUUCGUGGCGUGCGACGCCAACGGCUCGGGCCGCAUCGAGCGGGAGGACUUCGCGGCGCUGUGCGCCGAGCUGCGGGUGCGGCCGGCCGAGGCCGAGGCCAUCUUCCAGCGCCUCGACAGCGACCGCGACGGGGCCAUCACCUUCCCGGAGUUCGCCCGUGGCUUCCGCGGCGCCACGCGGCGGCAGCCCGGCGGCGGCGAGCCUGCGGGCGAGGAGGGCGAGGGGGAGGAGACGGCCGCGUGGGUCGCCGCGGGGCUGGAACAGCCCUGGAAGGACUUCGAGGUGCGGCUCGGAGACGAGGCGAGGUACAUCCCCAGACAAGAGCAGGUCAGUGUUCUGUAUCAGAACAUACACAUAGCGGAACCAAGAUUAAUCCAGUCAUAUGAGCGUGUAAUUAAGAACUUCAUCCGAGAGAUCAAACUUCAAAGCACAGAGAUGGAAACUUUGGCCAUAGCAGUAAAAAGAGCUCAGGAGAAAGCAGCAGUUCAGCUAAGUGAGCUAGAGGAAGAGAUGGAACAGCGGAUACAAGCUGCAGAGCAUAAAGUUAAAAAGGAAGAGAAGCGAAAAGCUGAAGAAGCACUAAAUGAGCUGAAGCGUCAGUAUGAUACUGAAGUUGGGGAUCUUCAGGUGACAAUAAAAAAGCUUAAAAAGCUGGAGGAGCAAUCCAAAAAUGUAAAUCACAAGGAAGAUGUGGGUGAACUGAAAAAAAGAAUGCAUGAUAUGUUCCUGGAAAAUCAGAAACUUAAGAAAGAUCUUUUAGAAGCACAGACAAAUAUAGCUUUUCUACAGAGUGAAUUAGAUAGCUUGAAAAGCGAGUAUGCAGAUCAGUCUUUGAACACUGAGAGAGACCUAGAAAUUAUCCGAGAAUAUACUGAAGACAGAGAUAAUCUGGAAAGACAAAUUGAAAUACUGCAAUCAGCUAAUAGAAAGUUACAUGACAGCAAUGAUGGUUUAAGAAGUGCACUUGAAAACAGUUUCAGCAAGUACAACAGAUCAUUGCGGUUGGCAAACACCUCACCAGGAAGUACCAAUUCUAGAAGCAGCCCUAAAUUUAAUGGUGGACAUUCUCCUUUAAAUCCACGGUAUGACAGGUCAUCUCAUUCGUCUUGUGUGGAUGACGAUUUUGAUUCUUUAGCCGUUUGCGAUCCUAUGCAAAGGAUAAACUGUGAAGUUGACAGCUUACCUGAGAGCUGUUUUGACAGUGGUUUGUCUACCUUGAGAGAUUCAAAUGAGUAUGAUUCAGAAGUGGAAUACAGGCAUCAAAGGAUUUUUCAAAGGUCACAGUGUAUGCAAGAAGGCUUUGGUGGUGAUGCUUCUGAUACUGAUGUUCCAGAGAUCAGGGAUGAAGAAGCGUACAGUCCUGAUAACAGUACUGCAGUAUUAGACUGGAAGCCCUCACGACCAGUAAGUCGAAGCAGCUCAAUUGCUUCAACAAGGAAAUACAUAUCUGCUCUCACUCCCCAGACGGAUUAUUUUUAUUUUCAGUCAGAUGCAACCGAAUCCACUCUAAAAUACCCCAGUUCAGAGAAGGCUUACAAGAUUGUUCUUGCUGGAGAUGCAGCAGUGGGAAAAUCCAGUUUCCUUAUGAGACUUUGCAAGAAUGAAUUUCGAGGCAAUACCAGUGCAACUUUGGGUGUGGAUUUUCAAAUGAAAAGACUAAUUGUUGAUGGAGAACCUACAGUGCUACAACUGUGGGACACAGCAGGGCAGGAGAGAUUCCGAAGUAUUGCUAAAUCAUACUUCAGAAGAGCAGAUGGUGUCUUGCUACUAUAUGAUGUAACAUGUGAAAAAAGCUUUCUUAACGUGAGAGAAUGGAUGGAUAUGAUUGAGGAUGCAACUCACGAGAAUAUUCCAAUUAUGAUGGUGGGAAACAAGGCAGAUCUCCGUCAAGCUGUUACAGAACAAGGGCAAAAAUGUGUGCCUGUAAACUAUGGAGAAAAGCUGGCUAUGACUUAUAAUGCGCUAUUCUGUGAAACAAGUGCUAAAGAUGGAUCUAAUAUUGUAGAAGCAGUUCUUCAUCUUGCUCGUGAAGUGCGAAAACGAAGUGAUAAUCAAGAUGAUACGAGACUCCGGUUUCACUUGUCUGAAGUAAUAUAAUAUAAUGAAACGAGCUCAGAAUGAGUGCUGCAGUAGUCACAGCAUACAACAUUGCAGUACAUGUUGUUGUCUGUACCUGCUUGUUUCCUUAUGGCUUUUUGAGGCCUUCAGUUACGUGUUGAGGAAACAUUUCUUAAGAAAACUCCAAACCAUUAAAAGGCUGCCCAGGUCCAUGUAAACCCUAAGUUUAGGGCAUGAAGCAGAAUGUCCUCUGUCGGGAGAAGACAGUGGCAGGUGCAUGGGGUUCUGGUGUACUUUCUCAAAAGCUGGUGAGUUAGAAUGUGUUUUGUUUUGGGAGUUGGGGUUUGUUUCAGAAUGGAGAAGUAUACCCUACAUCUGAUCUGACACAGCUUGGAGGUGAAAGAAGCAUUUGUGUGGACUGUUACCAUUCAAAAUUCCAGAGAGAAUGUAACACCUGUUGUAUUCAUUGCUGAAAUGAAUUAAUGAUCCACCCUGCCUGUUUGUUUAGACUUUAUCAUUAUUAGUAUUACAGAGUGGUAGGGAUUGUAAUUUUCCCCUUGUUUUUCAAAUGUCUUCCAUUCAGUCAAUAAUUGAGGGAUUGUAAUAAUACAUAGAAGUCUGAUUUAAUGGAUUUUUUAAUCAUUUUAAAAGUUUUAAACUAUGUGAAAGAAUUGCUGCACAUGCACAAGCAUCUGUAUAAGCUGUUCAUUAAAAGAAGACCCUGAAAUGAACAGCAACCACUUACCUUAAUGAGAAUUCCUUUACCCGAUUUUGGGAAAGUUCUGAGAAACUCAGCAGGGGGUGGUAGCUUUAAGUGUCAGCAUCUCUAAAAACUGAGUUAUUAUUGCUUAAAAUAGUUCCAAAGAGUUCUACGGUAUAGUUAAAAUUGUAGGUAUUUAUACAGUUAUCUGUCAUGAUCCAGUUCUUCUUAGCUUUCACUAAUUUUGAUCAGAAUGGGAUCUUUUCAGAACCAGCAGGUUUGUCUCCUCUGUAUCUAUUAAUAACACAUCUCCAGGCUAGCUCUGUAAAUCAACCUUGGAUAAAGUUUUAUGGACUGAUUGGAAACCCAUAUGACUAGCAGCAGUUACUGCAUUUUAUCAGCAUUGUAUUUGAACACUGUAUAGUCUGUAUUGUGUUACCUGUUGUAUAAAAUGUAGAGUUGUCAAAAACAGGAUGAUUCGUAAUUUACAAAAAAAAAGUUUAAAGUAGGAAGAGCAGUGUUUUUAGGCAUCCUUUCAAACUCUUACCAGAGCAGUUAAUCCUCAGGUAAUUAUCUGGAAGUUUGUUCUUAACAAGAGAGAAGAAUCUAGUACUGGAAUGAAUAAGACAUUUUAUUUCACAGUAUAGUAAUUUAGCUCUAAAAGAGAAACAUAUUUGGUAGUUUGGGUUUUUUUUAAGUACUAAGAGAAUCUUCACACACUACUUUAUUCCAUGUGGGAGACUUCAGGGUUGUAGCAUCUUCCCACACAGCAGUACAAGAGGCCUCACUGUAGUCCUGAGACUUAUCUGGAGCUGAUGGCAGAGAACAAAGGACGCACAGGUGUAUGAGAAAUAUGCUUAGUCGCAUACAUUUUGUCUGCUAUUAACCCUGUACUAUUUAAACAAGAAAGUUACAGUUCUAGUUAGCUUUUCUGAGGAGAAAAACCAUGUUGAACUGACUGCAUUGAUGAGGGCGUCUUCUGUGUCCUUCUCUCUCUCCUUUAGUGAAAUUGAAGUAGUAUUAAUUGGAUUGUAUUUGCUGAUAGUUCUUCCUGCAGCAGUAGGGAGAAGAGAGGAAGAUGAUCCAGUGCUUGGUUUCUAAAGUGUGACCUUACAACAUGUAGGUACUUGCAUUUUCUCUGGAUAAGAAGGUCAUGAUUAUAAGUUUUCUGAAAAAUCCAUGUACUAAGAGCCUCAAAAAUAGUCAAGAGACAGAAGAGCUAACUAAAACUUUCAUUCAAAUAAAAGGGAGAGUUCCUUGGGCAUUCCCCCAGUGAGGUCUCUCAACUUGACAGGGGUCAUAGCCUCUUUUAUCCACUCUGCCCAAAACUCAGGUCCCUCCCCGUUUCUCCAUUGAGUGAGGUAUUCCGGGGUUACAGACUUUCUGACAUGCCUACUACAUGUCCCCCAUUACAUGCUUAUUAAGGGCUUUGAGGGUCCCCAGCAUUUUCAAAAUGGAGGUUACUGCAUAUUUAUCCCUUGCUGCUGAUUGGUCUCCAUGUUCUGGGCACUGUAUUGUCUCAUGCUGGGCAACUACAUAACUUUUCUAUACCCUACUACUAAGUUAGCUGUGACUACUACAAACUUUGCAAGAACAUUCUACUUAUUCCUAAUAAUCCUCCCUUUUUUUUAAAAUUAUGUUCUUGCAAAAGGGAGUACCAUUUUGUUAAUAGUUGUCUCUUGAUCUACUUCAAUAUCUAAGGUUAAAGUUUCUUGAGAAUGAGUAGUUGGUAAUUCUCAUUUACACACUGUUUUCAGAACCAUUAUUUUCUGUCCUUUAAUUGCCAUUUCAGGGUCAUUAGGCAUAGCUACUGUUUGCAUCCUCUUCAUCACAUAUGCAGUAAGUUGCAAAAGACAAGGAAUCAUACAAGGCAGGAAAAUUAAGGUAGCUUGCCUGCAAAAAACAAAGAAUAGUAUUUUCUUUAUUGCUGGUCCAACUGCAAGCCAUGAAAACAUAUCUAUGCCCCACUCCUUCCAAGAUUCAUCUGGGACAUGGACUAACUUUCGGAUGUGUUUUGUUAUUCAUUUUACUGUUUUUCCAUUGUCAUUGAUUUACAGGCAACAAUUUGAGUUAUUUAAUUUUCCACAUACUCCACUUUCCACUGCUAACAAAAAAUCAAAAACCAUUUGGUGUUUAGAGUUGGCAGUUCUCAUUUGGGUUACUUGGUCUGCCAGCAAGUCUAAGACAUUAGCUGUUUGAUUGGCAAUAGUCUCUAAUAUAGCUUGGAGUCAAAUUAUAUGAUUUAAAUUAUAGAUGGGCUCUCUUGUUCCAUGAAUCAAUUCACGGGGGUUCCGUGAUAUUGUUAUCCUGUGGCUGUUAGCUGGGACAAAUGGGUUCGCACACAUUUUAUUGAUAUGGCUUCUGCCUUAUAUAUGGUAGGGUAAGAACUUGCAAGGAAGAGGGCGUAACUGAGGAGGAGUAAAGGAGGAGCAUGCAAAAUAGGAGGAUGACACAACCGUAUAGGGAAGGGUUCUACAAUGCAGCAAAGAUUUACCAGUGGGAGGGCAGGGUUCAAGACCAUGAGGGAUAAGGGAAUUUUCCAGAACUUACAGUCCACUGUAUAUAUCUAUAGGGGAUUACACAAUAAACUGAGAAACAUAAUGUGAAAUCUGAAAUGCUUAUUCUUAAACGGUUCAUAUCCAUUCAUACGAUGGUCUCAUCUUCGCAGGCAAGCUUGGGCUCAACACUUCUCUUCCAGUCUUCAUAUUCAUCUUCUCCCACAUUAACCCAACAAGGAUCCUGAAAUACGUAUAGCGGUGGGCCGUUAGGAAAGGAAAAUACUCUUUAUUUUCAAGUCCCAGAAGAUGAGGAACUCUGGGAUAGUCCCUUGUCCAGUGUAAACUGGGCACUUAAAGGACACUGUUGGAUCAACAGUGACCAACACACAUAUAGAAGAUUGCCUGAAAAUUGGACAAGGAAUUUGUUUUGUAGGAUGUAUUAAACCCUUAUUCUUUUUUUUAAGCCAUAUACAGUUUGGGAACUAAAGUAUAUGAUGAUUAAAAAAAAAAAUGAGAACUUAAUACCUCCCCUACAGGAGGAAGAAAACAAAAAAUGGAAAAAGAAUGAGUGGACUUCUCAAAGGAUUAUUGAGCAUUAUGGACCAGCUAUUUGGAACUUUGAGCUUUUGCAAUUUCUUCCCCUAGUGCUAAAAAUCUGUUUCCUUCUAUUUGACCAGCGCACAGGUGAUAACAAAGAAACAGGAUCAAAAGUUUUAUCUUCAUUUGACUGUCGAUAGGAAGGUCCAUUUGAGUAGACAUUAAGUAGAUGCUCAGUGGGUAGAUGCAGGAACUUCUUCCUAAAUCAACACAGACGCUUCUACUCACGGUUUCUGUGUAGUAUAAGUUUAGGCUUUCCUUCUUUCUCUUCUAGUUGUGAAGUCCAGAACUCUGGUGCUCUAGAAGGUUUCACUUGUGUAUGGUGAGUCCACCCAUCCUCAGCAGUCUUAACUGCUCUGUCUGUGGUCAAUAACACCUAAUAUGGUCUGCGCCACUUUCCCACCAGUGGUGUUUGCAGUCCUUAGCUAGAACCCAGUCUCCUGGACAGAUGUCAUGAACUGCGAAAUCCAAGGGUAGAGUUUGUGCCAGCUGGGCUUCCUGUUGAAGAGAUUUUACAACAGACAGUAUUCUGGCCACAUGCUGCUUUAUGAACAAAUUUCUAUUCUGCUUUCUUUUUGUAACCCAACCGGAUAAGGGAUUCCAGACAUUAUCUCAGAUGGAGAUAACUUAAGACUUUCUCGAUGUUUAGCUCUUAUCCUUGCUAAAGCUAUAGGUAAAAGCUGAGUCCAGGGCAUUUUUGUUUCCAUUACUAAUUUUAAAAGAUAUUUCUUGAUCUCUUCAUCCAUAUAUUCUACUCAUCCAGAACUUUGAGGGUACCAUGGAAUAUGUAAAGCAAUGUCACAAAAGGCUCAAUGUCACAUACAUUUUAAGAAAGGCCUCUGCUAGUGCUCAGGAGCCUCAAUGACUCCCUUCAUGAAGUUGUUUUGAUAUUUGUAAGGCCAAUGCCUUCGGUAUCCAUUGUUUACCCGUUUUUGUGAACCAAUUUUCCCCUCUAUUUUCUGCUCCACUGUUUUUAAUUGUUUCCAAUUCUUGUGGCAAGAAGGACAUUCCUUCUGGCAAUAAUUGAGUCACUGGUAGGAGGGGAAAUACUUCAGAUACCUCAAGCAAAAGUGCUUUUUUCCAGGCCUCUUCAUCUGCUAAUCUAUUACCAGUCACUUCUGCAGAAGCGUUUGAUGUCCCAUUUGAUGUUCUUUAACAGGGACCACUGCUAUUUGUUGAGAUAAAUCCAUGACUUUCAAUAAUCUCUGUAUCAAAUUCUCAUAUGCUAGUGCCUUGCCUCUACAGGUUAAAAGUCCCCUUUCUUUCCGUAAUUUCUCAAACACAUAUGCAUAUUUGGAAUCCAUAUAGACAUUAACUGCUUUUCUGUGGUGUAUUUCACAAGCUCGUAUCAGAGCUAAUAGUUCAGCUCUUUGUGCUGACUAGAUAUAAGGUAAUCUACCACAGUCUUUUAACUGUUCUUCUUCAAUUAUAGCAUAUCCAGUAUAACGCUUCUCUUCUAUCACCUAUGAGGAUCCAUCAAUAAACACAUUUUGUCGUCUAGAUAGUGGACCAUCUGUUAGGUCAAUUCUAGCUCAUGUUUGAAGACCUAUUACCUCAAUGCAAUCAUCAACUAUUUCAGGGUUUUGUUCAUCCCUGUUUAAACAAGAAGCUGGACUGAAACUUUUUCUACCUUUGACUUCUAAAUCAUCUUACUCCAUUAGACAAGUUUCAUACUAUAACAAUUGUGCAUUAGUCAUCCAUUUAGAGCCUUUUCCUGUUAAUAAUGCUUUAACUUGGUGUGGGACUCUUAACUACUAAGUGUCCUUCAUUAGUUAGCUUUCUAGCCACAAGCACCAUUUGAGCUGUGGCUGCAUGACUUUGAAGGCAAUGUGGCCAUCCCGUAACUACUAUGUCAUAAUUUAGAGAAAUAGGCCACUGGCCUAUGAGAGCCACCAUGAUCUUGUAUUAACACUCCUUUUGCAUGUCCCUGGUUAACAUCUACAUAUAAUGCAAAUUCUUUGUUCAGAUCUGGAAGAGCUAGGGCAGGAGCUUGAAUUAAUUUACUCUUUAGUUACUGAAAUCUCCUUUUCCCUUCAGGUAUCCAAAUAAUUACUUCUGGAUUUUCUCGAGUCAACAAAUCAUACAAUGGUCUGGCUAUUAUUGAAAAAUCCUCUGUCCAAGUCCUACAAAAUCCCACUAAUCCUAAAAAUUCUUUCUUCAUUUUUGGAAGAGGAAUUUCCAAGAUUUCUUUAACCGUUUCUGGAUCUACACAUUGUGAUCCAUGCAUUAUCAUAUGUCCUAAAUACUUAACUUCUGUCUCUACCAUUUGAUCUUUCUUUUCAGAAAUUCUUAGUCCUUUUUCAGCUAGAAAGUUAAGCAAUUUCACAGUAGUGUCUUCUACUUGUAAAAUCAUCUACAUAAUGCAAUAACCUUACUUGUGGAGGUAAUGAGAAUUCAUUUAAAAGAUUUUUUAAAGCUCGUCCAAAUAAAACCGGUGAUUCAGUAUAUCUUUGUGGCAGUGUGGUCCAAGUAAGUUGCUGUUUAAUUACUUUCCCUCCUUCUUCUUGUUCCCACUCAAAGGCAAAGUAUGGCUUACUAUUGUCUGUAAUUGGACAACCAGAAUGCAUCCUAACACAGAAUAAUAACAGUGAGAAGAGAGAAUUUGAUUGAGAAAAGUAUGAGGAUCAGGAACCGUAGGGUGUCUAGGCUUAUCUAUUUCAUUAAUUAUUCUUAAAUCUUGAACCAUUCGGUAACUUCCAUCUGGUUUCCUCACUGGUAAAAUUGGGGUGUUAUAAGGAGACAUACAUGGUUCUAACAAGCUAGCUUGUAAUAACGGUUGGAUUAUAGGUUUUAACCUUUCUCUUCCUUCCAUUGAAUGAGGUGCUGCUUCUGGGAUACAAUCUGAUCCUGAUGCCUUAAAGUAAUCUGUUCUGUAUUUAAUUUUCCAUAUUUCCCAGAUACUGCCCACAUAUUGGGGCUUACUUUUUCAUAAGCCCCUGAUGAUAGCUUAUGGAGUGUAAUAAUUGUAUUUGCUUCAGUUUUAUCCUUCACAAUAUUAAUUUGCAUACCCACUUUUGCCAUCAAAUCUCUCCCCAGCAGAUUACAAUCACAAUUUGGAACAAAAAGGUCAUGCAUUUCAAAUUUAUUUUCUAUGUCAGCCGGUAUAGGUUCCAGUAUGUGUACUUUCUCAUCCUUCCCACUUACCUGUUGAAUAGUUAAACUUCCUUUUGAUGAUCAACCUCCUUUAGGCAUAAAAUUCAGUGUAGAUCUAGAAGCCCCAGUAUCCACUAAAAACUGCACUACCUCUCAAUCAGGGCCCAGUAGGCAGUUUAUCAAGGGUUCCAUGGUGGUGGGCUCGUAAUAUGAAGGGAACCCAUGACACCCCUAGCAAUCCAUUUCCAUUAAAUGGUGGAUCUCCUCCUCUUCUUGAUCUGUCUGCUUCUGUGGCCAUUCUUUUUUUCCAAUGUCCCUCUUUCUUACAGAUUGCACAUUGGUUCCUCCCCAACUUAGGUCGUACUUGAGCUUGAUUAGGAGAGUGAGGGCUAUUGUGAAAGGAUCUGGGGGUCCAGUCUCUCCCUUUUGCUUCCCCUUGUCCUCUCUUUCCUCCUCAUUUAGGUUGAAGAAUCUGGACCAUUACCUUAGCCUUUGUUUUGGCUUUCUCCUUGUCCUUUAUUACAUAAACUUGUGGUUUUCAUAUUAGAUCUUCUAAAGAUUUAUUCUGCUACUCUUCUUUUCUUUGAACCCUUCAUCUUAUAUCAGAUUGUGAUUGAGUGACACAUUGUACCUUCAAUGAAGUUUCAAAUGCAGGGCUUUCAGGGUCUAACCCUCUCUGUUUUCUCGAGGUAUCCCUAAGCCUUUCUAACCACUGGGUGGGGCUCUCAUCUUUCUCUUGUUGUAGAGACAUAGCUUUAGACACAUUACUCGUUUGUGGCACUGCUGUUUUUAUUGCUCUAAUUAAAUAUGUGUGAUAAAUCUCUUAGAUGACCUAACUGCACCUGGCUGUUUGGGUCCCAAUUGGAGUCUGCUUGUGGAAUAGCAUUGUCCACAACAAGACCAUUCUGUCUUACUACACCCACAGCUUGUGGGUGCUCAUCUUCCCAGGUUUGCUGUGCCUUUUGUAAAAUCAUUCACUUUUCCUGAAAUCCAAAAAAGAUUCCUAGGAAGAAAUCUCAGUCUUUCCAAGUGUAAUCUGCAUACCCUAAAUAUUCAUCUGUUCUCUCUCCUACUCCUGUAGGAUCCUCCAGGUGAAAUGAAAGCCCUUUCUUCAAUCCUGAGUUGCUAGUGGCACUAUUACAAACCUAAAACCUCCUCCUUGGCCUCCUAAUGGGACCCGUCUCAGUGGCAUUUGCAAAACUCUUUCUCCAGCAGCAUACUGUGUUCCUGCUCUUGUCUUUGGGGGAGACAGGAUUGAAUUGCUUCCCACCUCCCCGUCCUGCAGCAUCUGCAAACCUCCCUCUUUGACAGGAAAUCGAAUUCCAACCCUUGCCUUUGAAGCAGACAGGGUUGAGUUACUUCCCCCCUCCUACUUCCUGUCACCCUCCAUCCUUAGGGCACUGAGAAUUCCCCGUUCCCUUUCCUGUGAAUGACUUCGUGGUUCUGACUGUCUCCUUGAUAAGGUGGAAGCAAUACUUGCAACACAUCCCACUUUAAAUUUUUUUCCUUCUCUCUCUCACCUUCUCCCCAAUUUUUUCUUUCCCUGAAAGGACACAACUUCACAAAAGAAGUCUCUUUUGACUACAUUGUCACCACAACUCCUCUCAGUUGUUUCCAUCCCACUAUCAUCCAAAAGACACAGAGGGUCUGAAUAAGAUCCUCAUCAUGAGACCCAAAAUGCGGCCACCUAAACCCACGAGGUAGUGAGUACUUUGGCCAGUGAAAACAACAGUAUUUUACCAUUAAUUCCUUAAUCACCCCUUCUGGUGAACUUAUACUGUCCCAAAAUUCCAGCAUUUUACCCAAGGGACUGUGUGGGGGUAUACAAGGGUCAUCACCCUUUCUGCCACAUCCCUUACCUGGCUUUUUGCUGUCUCUGGGCCCUCUCUUUUUACUUCCCCCAGUUCCCGUUACUCAUUGGGUGAGAUGUCUCAGUCCUUUCCCUGACUCCUUUCCAAACCAAAACAAAUGUUCCUUUAUCCUAUUGUCCUCUCUCAUCUGUCUCUGGAUAGCCUUGGGAACCCAAUCACCCAUCUCAUUUUAGCCUCUAGUGAAAGCAACUGAUCACCAAAACUGUUGAUGCGGCGUCUUCAGCUCCAUUCAUCAGCCCCUGCCCUUGGAGGGUGGAGUCAAUCCUGGACAAGAGCCCCCAUUUAUACUGAAAAAUCCAGGUACUAAGACCUUCAAAGAUAGCCAAGAGACAGAGGAGCUAACUAAAACUUCUAUUUGAAUAAAAGGGAGAGUUCCUUGGACAAUCCCCCAGCGAGGUUUCUCAACUUGAUAGAGGUCACAGCCUCUUAAUAUAAGCUGUUACUUACAUUCCAAAAUAUUUCUCCUUCAGUGUUGUUACCUCUUGUUAACUCUAGGGCUUAAAGUGAGGCUCACUGUUCUUUGUGUCUGUCCUGAGCUACUGUGUUUGACUAUCUCUGUGGUGUUGGCCUGCAGUAAAUGAGAUGAAAUACACUUUCCUCAACCUUGUUGACAUACCUACAUGAGCAAAGCAUUUUGGUUGAAUACAGAGAAUCACAUAAAGUUGUUUGCAGGAAGAAUUUUUGGAAGUGGUUUUAUACAAUGUCCCAAGCAGAGAUGGACUUUUGCCAGCCCUAGAUCAGGUUAACUGUAGGUUUGGCUAUCUAGGCUCUGAAAAUCUCCCAGGACAGAGAUACUGUCACUGUUCUGGGCAACCUGUUCCCAUGGUUGCUCUCCCCUUCUGGAUAAACAUUUCUCUCUAUGUCCAACCUCAGUUUCCCAAGUGGCUACAAAUUAGUAGCAGUUUCCCCUCAUUAUAUUGUCUCCUUCUACUAAGAAGAGUUUAACUGUAAUCUUGAUGACUCACCCUUUUGGUAUCUGUAGAUCGCCCUUAUUGUUCUCUUGACUACUGUAAGAACAUCAGGACAACCUCUUGCAACCUCUUGCAAAUGUGAAUUUCACAUCCCAGAAUUAGCAGCAUAUGUGCAUGUGUAGUAAUUGCUUUUGUAUCUAAUAUUUUUAUCAUACGGAGAGUACCAUGUUAAUGUCCAUGCCUGUAGAGAGGCUUUUUGAAGGAUGUGAGUUCAGGGACCUGCCUUCACACCUGUUUUUCUUUCUCUGCAGGAUUAGGCCAUUGAUAUUUUGGGUACUUUUUUUUUUUUCAUUUAUUUUAAUGACCAAAAUCUAUCUUGUGUUAUUUAGCCAAACUAUAUAACCUGAGUUUCUUUUUGUAAGCUGUGUAAUUUUUUUGUAAAGCAACUUUAAUUUGAAACAGUGUUGUUUUUUAAAUAAGAUUCAGGGUUGAAAACUGUUAACUAUAACAAAGUUUUACCUUGAAUUAAAUCUAUGAUCAAUGUUUAGAAGACUUAGAAAGCACUACCAAAUGGGGAUAUAGCUAUGACUCAGUUGGAACUGGUUUUGGAAAUCCCACAAUGAUCAGCUCCACCAUGUCUUUAGUGUUCACAUAAUAACACGUUGAAUUCAUGUUAAAGCAAAAAAACUUGGAAACAUAUUUAAAUUUAGAAAUUAAAGCACGUAUUUAUACAAUGCACGAAUUUUUGCGUUGUUUUGCUUUGAAGGGCUACCUUGCCUUCAACCUGAGGGUAAAAUGGCAUACAUCAGCUUUAUGCUCUGACAUGAUUGCACUAUUGUCCUUUGAAUGUUUUUAUGGUUUUGUUCAGUACGUAAGAACUGUUAAUUUAAUUGCACAAAGUUAUUGUUUCAGUUAGUGGCUGUGCUCCCUUAGUACAUGUAUUUAUUUGAAAAGGAAAGGUUUUUCAUAUUUGUCCUCAUAAUCUGUAACUGAAUUAUUUCUAUUCAGUUGAUGUGGAAGCAUUGUUUUAUAUUGGGUUUUUUGACCCUUUUUAAUUGUAAUGUAGUACACAUUUCUUAGGCUAUCAUUUCUGUGAGACACUCAUAAAAAUAUUUUGAUCACAUAAGUUCUUGUAACCACUUUGUGCCUGUUUAGCAUAUAUUUGUCUUGAUAAGACAAGCUGCAGCUUCGUAGUACAGUUAUGGCCUUAUAUGCCUUAAGUAUUUUUCUGUAUAAGUAACUACUUUUGUAUUGACUACAAAAUCCUCUAUUAUUUUAGGGAAAAAAUUACAGUUAUAAAUCUCUAUGACAUGUUAAAAUGUACUUCAAGGAAAAUAUCUAUGGGCCACUCCUGCAAGGACCGUCAUGUAGAUGUGCCUACAUGUAGAUCCCCAAAUGUGCAUACAUGUAGAUCCCCAAAUAAAGUAAUAGGUUCUGUGCUAGUGCAAGCAAUCCAUAUAUAAAUCCUUUUAAAGUGGUUUUCUUUUUUUCCUCAAUCCACUGCUCUACAACAAUGCUAGGCAAUGUUUUAGGGAAAAACACUACAGUUAAAGAUCCCUAAUUCUUAAACCAAAGGGACAAAUAUAUUCAUAUAGUCAAGGCACUUCAUUGUAUUUAAAAGAAACAUAUUUCCAAGAUGUUUCUGGCUGUUUUAGAUAAUUAUAAAAAUGAAUCAAUAUUUCAAGUGUAGUUCAAAUGCCCUUUACCACUACCUCUGCUAAACUUGAUAUGGCGUGUAAUGCUAUACCUCUGACCCUGUCUGGGCUACUUAUGUGUUAGAGAAGCUUUUUACAGGGCCGGUUAUUUUAUUACUUUUCUUCCACUAUAUUACUGUGAGUCCUAAUCCUUUCUUAUUGAUAUCCUUAGGACUGGUAAUAUCUGUAUUCACCGUUAUUAAUUUUUUGAGAGAAGUUGAUAUGUGAAAUGUAUAUGCGAAUGCGUUACUGAGUUUGUACAAAGAGGUCCUUUUUCUAGAGUUUGUACUCCUUCAGUUAUGGCUCCAGAUAGCUGGACUGAUAGGAAAUUAGUCAUUAAGUGUCUGAGUAACAAACAAAACCAAUUUGUGAAGAUUUCCCACUGACCAUGAAGUUAAGUAUGCAAAAUAAAAGUGUGUUUUCAUACUAGUAUGAAGAGGAAGAAAUUGUGCCCAUUGCAUGAUCAUCUUUUAAUAAAAGUCUGUAUAUUAUAUAAAUAAGACUCUAAACAGUGAAAUGUUUCUUUAAAUUUUAUACUGUUUACAAAUAAAACUGGUGUUCAUGCAGUUUGCUCCUCCUUAAAUCUACUGAUCACUGCAUUUACUGUAAUUUUAUAUACAUAGUUGUUUAAAAACUACAUCUUUCCUGUAUUACAAAUUGCUGUAUAAUAAAAUGCACUUCAAUAGC
Molecule: RNA transcript, 14235 nt
Organism: Pipra filicauda (Wire-tailed manakin)
Lineage: Eukaryota; Metazoa; Chordata; Aves; Passeriformes; Pipridae
Gene: RASEF
Gene name: RAS and EF-hand domain containing
Exons: 19
Source: RefSeq, a predicted model, not a curated record